GCAUCUAGAUUAGAGUUUGAUCCUGGCUCAGAUUGAACGCUAGCGGGAUGCUUUACACAUGCAAGUCGAACGGCAGCACGAGGAGCUUGCUCCUUGGUGGCGAGUGGCGAACGGGUGAGUAAUAUAUCGGAACAUGCCCAGUAGCGGGGGAUAACUACUCGAAAGAGUGGCUAAUACCGCAUACGUCCUACGGGAGAAAGCAGGGGACCUUCGGGCCUUGCACUAUUGGAGUGGCCGAUAUCGGAUUAGCUAGUUGGUGGGGUAAAGGCUCACCAAGGCAACGAUCCGUAGCUGGUUUGAGAGGACGACCAGCCACACUGGGACUGAGACACGGCCCAGACUCCUACGGGAGGCAGCAGUGGGGAAUUUUGGACAAUGGGGGAAACCCUGAUCCAGCCAUCCCGCGUGUAUGAUGAAGGCCUUCGGGUUGUAAAGUACUUUUGGCAGAGAAGAAAAGGUAUCCCCUAAUACGGGAUACUGCUGACGGUAUCUGCAGAAUAAGCACCGGCUAACUACGUGCCAGCAGCCGCGGUAAUACGAAGGGUGCAAGCGUUAAUCGGAAUUACUGGGCGUAAAGCGCGCGUAGGUGGUUCAGCAAGUUGGAUGUGAAAUCCCCGGGCUCAACCUGGGAACUGCAUCCAAAACUACUGAGCUAGAGUACGGUAG
RNAcentral lists this ribosomal RNA (666 nucleotides) under uncultured bacterium. RNAcentral describes it as "bacterial SSU rRNA". It matches the Rfam family "Bacterial small subunit ribosomal RNA", at positions 1 to 654 of the family's 1533-position model. The record is from RNAcentral.